This 508-nucleotide ribosomal RNA is filed under the name uncultured bacterium. RNAcentral's name for it is "partial 16S ribosomal RNA". It matches the Rfam family "Bacterial small subunit ribosomal RNA", at positions 28 to 523 of the family's 1533-position model. The record is from RNAcentral.
GAUGAACGCUAGCUACAGGCUUAACACAUGCAAGUCGAGGGGAAACGAUAUUGAAAGCUUGCUUCCGAUAGGCGUCGACCGGCGCACGGGUGAGUAACGCGUAUCCAGCCUGCCCAUCACUUGGGGAUAACCUUGCGAAAGUAAGACUAAUACCCAAUGACGUCUCUAGAAGACAUCUGAAAGAGAUUAAAGAUUUAUCGGUGAUGGAUGGGGAUGCGUCUGAUUAGCUUGUUGGCGGGGUAACGGCCCACCAAGGCGACGAUCAGUAGGGGUUCUGAGAGGAAGGUCCCCCACAUUGGAACUGAGACACGGUCCAAACUCCUACGGGAGGCAGCAGUGAGGAAUAUUGGUCAAUGGGCGAGAGCUUGAACCAGCCAAGUAGCGUGCAGGAUGACGGCCCUAUGGGUUGUAAACUGCUUUUAUAAGGGAAUAAAGUGAGCCACGUGUGGCUUUUUGCAUGUACCUUAUGAAUAAGGACCGGCUAAUUCCGUGCCAGCAGCCGCGGUAA